This 508-nucleotide ribosomal RNA is filed under the name Dothideomycetes sp. FL-2010a. RNAcentral's name for it is "eukaryotic LSU rRNA". The stretch from base 146 to 299 matches the Rfam family "5.8S ribosomal RNA". The record is from RNAcentral. Lineage: Eukaryota; Fungi; Ascomycota; Dothideomycetes.
CAUUACCUAGAGUUGUAGGCUUUGCCUGCUAUCUCUUACCCAUGUCUUUUAAGUACCUUACGUUUCCUCGGCGGGUCCGCCCGCCGAUUGGACAAUUUAAACCAUUUGCAGUUGCAAUCAGCGUCUGAAAAAACUUAAUAGUUACAACUUUCAACAACGGAUCUCUUGGUUCUGGCAUCGAUGAAGAACGCAGCGAAAUGCGAUAAGUAGUGUGAAUUGCAGAAUUCAGUGAAUCAUCGAAUCUUUGAACGCACAUUGCGCCCCUUGGUAUUCCAUGGGGCAUGCCUGUUCGAGCGUCAUUUGUACCUUCAAGCUCUGCUUGGUGUUGGGUGUUUGUCUCGCCUCUGCGUGUAGACUCGCCUCAAAACAAUUGGCAGCCGGCGUAUUGAUUUCGGAGCGCAGUACAUCUCGCGCUUUGCACUCAUAACGACGACGUCCAAAAGUACAUUUUUACACUCUUGACCUCGGAUCAGGUAGGGAUACCCGCUGAACUUAAGCAUAUCAAUAA